UACGUAGGGGGCGAGCGUUGUCCGGAUUUAUUGGGCGUAAAGAGCUCGUAGGCGGUUUGGUAAGUUGGAUGUGAAAGCCUUGAGCUCAACUCAAGAAAUGCAUUCAGGACUGGAUGGCUAGAGGACCGGAGAGGAUAGUGGAAUUCCCAGUGUAGUGGUGAAAUACGUAGAGAUUGGGAAGAACACCAGUGGCGAAGGCAGGUCUCUGGGCCAUAACUGACGCUGAGAAGCGAAAGCAUGGGGAGCGAACAGG
RNAcentral lists this ribosomal RNA (253 nucleotides) under uncultured bacterium. RNAcentral describes it as "partial 16S ribosomal RNA". It matches the Rfam family "Bacterial small subunit ribosomal RNA", at positions 524 to 776 of the family's 1533-position model. The record is from RNAcentral.